CCUACGGGCGGCAGCAGUGAGGAAUAUUGGUCAAUGGACGAGAGUCUGAACCAGCCAAGUCGCGUGAAGGAUGACUGCCCUAUGGGUUGUAAACUUCUUUUAUAAAGGAAUAAAACGACGCACGUGUGCCUUUUUGCAUGUACUUUAUGAAUAAGGCUCGGCUAACUCCGUGCCAGCAGCCGCGGUAAUACGGAGGAUCCGAGCGUUAUCCGGAUUUUUUGGGUUUAAAGGGAGCGUAGAUGGGUUGUUAAGUCAGUUGUGAAAGUUUGCGGCUCAACCGUAAAAUUGCAAUUGAUACUGGGAGUCUUGAGUACAGUUGAGGUAGGCGGAAUGCGUGGUGUAGCGGUGAAAUGCUUAGAUAUCACGAAGAACCCCGAUUGCGAAGGCAGCUUACUAAACUGUGACUGACAUUGAUGCUCGAAAGUGUGGGUAUCAAACAGGAUUAGAUACCCGGGUAGUC
RNAcentral lists this ribosomal RNA (460 nucleotides) under uncultured bacterium. RNAcentral's name for it is "partial 16S ribosomal RNA". It matches the Rfam family "Bacterial small subunit ribosomal RNA", at positions 338 to 795 of the family's 1533-position model. The record is from RNAcentral.